This 467-nucleotide unclassified non-coding RNA is filed under the name Hevea brasiliensis (rubber tree). Lineage: Eukaryota; Viridiplantae; Streptophyta; Magnoliopsida; Malpighiales; Euphorbiaceae. The record is from RNAcentral.
AAAAAAAAAAAUGUGAAAAUUAUUGUACAAACAAAAAAUUCAAUCAAGAAAGCAAACCAUAAUAAUUUUCUAUCUUCCAGGAAAAAAAAAAAAUCUCAGGAACCAAGCAGCAGUUUUAAUAAAGGAAAUUUUCAAGAGAAAUGUGAAAUUUGUGUCAUAAUUCAUUCAAAACAGUAGAAAAGCUGAAGUUAGGACUCAAAAAUUGCAAAGGAAACUUAAGAAAAAGCCUAAAAUGAUACAGUAAAAAAGAAAGAAAUAAAGGAAAUCACUAAUUUUCCAUGGAAUGUUAUCACAAGCAUGCCGUAGUUAUACCAGAAAUCAACCAACAAGAUAACUAAGGGGUGACUUCCAACAACCACUCUGCACAAUUACACCAAUUCUUAAGAAACCAAGGUAAGCAUCCAUUUGCCAUUGUUUUACAACUGGAAAAAUGUCUUGGUCACCUGUUAUGAUGCUCUUUAGGAAUA